UACUUUGGCACAAGUAGUUUCAGGAAGUCAACGCCUUGGUAAGGACCAUCGGCCUGUACGAUGACCCCUUCUCAUAAUAAAGGAUACUCCCAAAAAUCUUUUCUUUCUAAAACUUCUUCUUGUGACUUUUCAAGUCUAAAUCUUUUCUUUAUAGAACAUCAUGUACAUGCUCAUGCUGGUAUCCUUAAAUGUAAAACAUGGCAUAAGAAUAAAAUAAACAUGUAAAAGUAUUUCUAAAGAUUUUUUCUUCUUCAUAAAUUUUCAACAUGAAAAUAACAUAUAAGAAUAACACAAAAAUCUGAAAAUUUAAGCACAUAUAUCAUAAUAAAUCAUCUAAACUUUUGCUAGAACAAUUCUAAGUUAAUAGGUACUCACUCGCUCCAAUUAAGUAAAUAUAAACUGUUUUAAGCAAUUCAUCAAACACCUUGUAUGUGUGCUUUUGUGAGUUAAACCACUUUAGUAAAGAGUUAUAUCAACUCACCUCGAAACUUCUCGAGCCAAUACAUAGACCCCAGUCUAAUUGAUAUCAGUCAAACAAUCGAUUCUACAACAACCAAUGCAGAUUAAUCAAUUUUAAAGUUUCACACCUAAACAUGAAAUUUAUUGUUGAUAUAGAGGAAGAAGAAGAUUAACUAUUCUAUUCUUACCUACUACUACUUUAGGAUAAUUGAGAAUAGGAAAUUCUAUGUACCUGAAUUCAAGAAUUAGUGAUAUCUGAAGAACCCUAUAAUUUUUCGUUAAAUUUCUGCUGCCUCUCGUAAUACCGUGCGCCUGUUUCUCUGUUUUCUG
RNAcentral lists this long non-coding RNA (789 nucleotides) under Nicotiana tabacum (common tobacco). RNAcentral describes it as "long non-coding RNA (NTAB_LNC003795)". The record is from RNAcentral. Lineage: Eukaryota; Viridiplantae; Streptophyta; Magnoliopsida; Solanales; Solanaceae.